UGGGCGUAAAGCGUGCGCAGGCGGUUUUGUAAGUCAGAUGUGAAAUCCCCGAGCUUAACUUGGGAACUGCGUUUGAAACUACAAGACUAGAGUGUGUCAGAGGGGGUAGAAUUCCACGUGUAGCAGUGAAAUGCGUAGAGAUGUGGAGGAAUACCAAUGGCGAAGGCAGCCCCCUGGGAUAACACUGACGCUCAUGCACGAAUGCGUGGGGAGCGAACAGGAUUAGAUGCCCUGGUAGUCCACGCCCUAAACGAUGUCAACUAGUUGUUGGUGGAGUAAGAUCCAUGAGUAACGUAGCUAACGCGUGAAGUUGACCGCCUGGGGAGUACGGUCGCAAGAUUAAAACUCAAAGGAAUUGACGGGGGCCCGCACAAGCGGUGGAUUAUGUGGAUUAAUUCGAUGCAACGCGAAAAACCUUACCUGGCCUUGACAUGUACCGAAUUUAGCAGAGAUGCUUUAGUGCUCGUAAGAGAACGGUAACACAGGUGCUGCAUGGCU
Molecule: ribosomal RNA, 498 nt
Filed under: uncultured Methylotenera sp.
Lineage: Bacteria; Pseudomonadati; Pseudomonadota; Betaproteobacteria; Nitrosomonadales; Methylophilaceae
Description: bacterial SSU rRNA
Rfam family: Bacterial small subunit ribosomal RNA
Source: RNAcentral